UACAGAGGUCUCAAGCGUUGUUCGGAUUCAUUGGGCGUAAAGGGUGCGUAGGUGGCGCCGUAAGUCGGGUGUGAAAUUGCGGAGCUUAACUCCGAAACUGCAUUCGAUACUGCGGUGCUUGAGGACUGGAGAGGAGACUGGAAUUCAUGGUGUAGCAGUGAAAUGCGUAGAGAUGUGGAGGAACACCGAUGGCGAAGGCAGCCCCCCUGGGCUAACACUGACGCUCAUGCACGAAAGCGUGGGGAGCAAACAGG
Molecule: ribosomal RNA, 254 nt
Filed under: uncultured bacterium
Lineage: Bacteria
Description: partial 16S ribosomal RNA
Rfam family: Bacterial small subunit ribosomal RNA
Source: RNAcentral